Molecule: unclassified non-coding RNA, 304 nt
Organism: Sarcophilus harrisii (Tasmanian devil)
Lineage: Eukaryota; Metazoa; Chordata; Mammalia; Dasyuromorphia; Dasyuridae
Rfam family: Metazoan signal recognition particle RNA
About the family: The signal recognition particle (SRP) is a universally conserved ribonucleoprotein. It is involved in the co-translational targeting of proteins to membranes. The eukaryotic SRP consists of a 300-nucleotide 7S RNA and six proteins: SRPs 72, 68, 54, 19, 14, and 9.
Source: Ensembl
ACUGGAAAAUUGUUGGUGUUCUUUUUCCAAAACACAGCCAGGUGAUAAAAGUUCCAGAUCCUGGCAGAUCCCUUGAGCCCGGGGGUUCUGGGCUGCAGUGGGGCUAUGCCGAUCGGGUGUCCGCACUAAGUUCGGCAUCAAUAUGGUGAGCCCCCGGGAGCGGGGGGGCCACCAGGUUGCCUAAGGAGGGGCGAACUGGCGGAAACGGAGCAGGUCAAAGCUCCCAUGCCGAUCAGUAGUGGGAUCGCGCCUGUGAGUAGCCGCUGUACCCCAGCCGGGGCGAUAUGGGGAAACCCAGUCUCAG